RNAcentral lists this ribosomal RNA (1454 nucleotides) under uncultured bacterium. RNAcentral describes it as "bacterial SSU rRNA". It matches the Rfam family "Bacterial small subunit ribosomal RNA". The record is from RNAcentral.
GAUGAACGCUAUCUACAGGCUUAACACAUGCAAGUCGAGGGGCAGCAUGGUCUUAGCUUGCUAAGGCCGAUGGCGACCGGCGCACGGGUGAGUAACACGUAUCCAACCUGCCGUCUACUCUUGGACAGCCUUCUGAAAGGAAGAUUAAUACAAGAUGGCAUCAUGAGUCCGCAUGUUCACAUGAUUAAAGGUAUUCCGGUAGACGAUGGGGAUGCGUUCCAUUAGAUAGUAGGCGGGGUAACGGCCCACCUAGUCUUCGAUGGAUAGGGGUUCUGAGAGGAAGGUCCCCCACAUUGGAACUGAGACACGGUCCAAACUCCUACGGGAGGCAGCAGUGAGGAAUAUUGGUCAAUGGGCGAGAGCCUGAACCAGCCAAGUAGCGUGAAGGAUGACUGCCCUAUGGGUUGUAAACUUCUUUUAUAAAGGAAUAAAGUCGGGUAUGGAUACCCGUUUGCAUGUACUUUAUGAAUAAGGAUCGGCUAACUCCGUGCCAGCAGCCGCGGUAAUACGGAGGAUCCGAGCGUUAUCCGGAUUUAUUGGGUUUAAAGGGAGCGUAGAUGGAUGUUUAAGUCAGUUGUGAAAGUUUGCGGCUCAACCGUAAAAUUGCAGUUGAUACUGGAUAUCUUGAGUGCAGUUGAGGCAGGCGGAAUUCGUGGUGUAGCGGUGAAAUGCUUAGAUAUCACGAAGAACUCCGAUUGCGAAGGCAGCCUGCUAAGCUGCAACUGACAUUGAGGCUCGAAAGCGUGGGUAUCAAACAGGAUUAGAUACCCUGGUAGUCCACACGGUAAACGAUGAAUACUCGCUGUUUGCGAUAUACUGCAAGCGGCCAAGCGAAAGCGUUAAGUAUUCCACCUGGGGAGUACGCCGGCAACGGUGAAACUCAAAGGAAUUGACGGGGGCCCGCACAAGCGGAGGAACAUGUGGUUUAAUUCGAUGAUACGCGAGGAACCUUACCCGGGCUUAAAUUGCAGAUGAAUUACGGUGAAAGCCGUAAGCCGCAAGGCAUCUGUGAAGGUGCUGCAUGGUUGUCGUCAGCUCGUGCCGUGAGGUGUCGGCUUAAGUGCCAUAACGAGCGCAACCCUUGUUGUCAGUUACUAACAGGUUCCGCUGAGGACUCUGACAAGACUGCCAUCGUAAGAUGUGAGGAAGGUGGGGAUGACGUCAAAUCAGCACGGCCCUUACGUCCGGGGCUACACACGUGUUACAAUGGGGGGUACAGAGGGCCGCUACCACGCGAGUGGAUGCCAAUCCCCAAAACCUCUCUCAGUUCGGACUGGAGUCUGCAACCCGACUCCACGAAGCUGGAUUCGCUAGUAAUCGCGCAUCAGCCACGGCGCGGUGAAUACGUUCCCGGGCCUUGUACACACCGCCCGUCAAGCCAUGGGAGCCGGGGGUACCUGAAGUGCGUAACCGCGAGGAGCGCCCUAGGGUAAAACUGGUGACUGGGGCUAAAA